GCACGUAGAGUGACAUUGCAAUUUAAAAGGGCAACACAAGCUGCAGGGAGGAGGUUGAAAAGCUGCCAACUUCUCUACUUCUCUGUAACUCUGAAACAAAUGGGGAUUGUAUUUCAAUAGAAUUUGUCAUAUUGCAAAUGUAAUGUGCCAUAAAAUACAACAACAUCAUGCAGCAAAAUUACUGAACCACAUCAUAUUAAUGAGUGAAC
Non-coding RNA from Pelobates cultripes (western spadefoot toad), 209 nucleotides. NCBI's taxonomy places the organism in Eukaryota, Metazoa, Chordata, Amphibia, Anura, Pelobatidae. The record is from the annotation of a GenBank genome assembly.